GCGUCAGUAGUGUAACGGGUAGAGCACGCGCUUCCGGGAAGGGUGAGGUGCGUGUUCUAGUCCCGGCUGACGCG
This is a non-coding RNA of Parelaphostrongylus tenuis, 74 nucleotides long. NCBI's taxonomy places the organism in Eukaryota, Metazoa, Nematoda, Chromadorea, Rhabditida, Metastrongylidae. The record is from the annotation of a GenBank genome assembly.